AGAAGCACCGGCUAACUCCGUGCCAGCAGCCGCGGUAAUACGGAGGGUGCAAGCGUUAAUCGGAAUUACUGGGCGUAAAGCGCACGCAGGCGGUUUGUUAAGUCAGAUGUGAAAUCCCCGGGCUCAACCUGGGAACUGCAUCUGAUACUGGCAAGCUUGAGUCUCGUAGAGGGGGGUAGAAUUCCAGGUGUAGCGGUGAAAUGCGUAGAGAUCUGGAGGAAUACCGGUGGCGAAGGCGGCCCCCUGGACGAAGACUGACGCUCAGGUGCGAAAGCGUGGGGAGCAAACAGGAUUAGAUAC
This 300-nucleotide ribosomal RNA is filed under the name Escherichia coli. RNAcentral's name for it is "bacterial SSU rRNA". It matches the Rfam family "Bacterial small subunit ribosomal RNA", at positions 486 to 785 of the family's 1533-position model. The record is from RNAcentral. Lineage: Bacteria; Pseudomonadati; Pseudomonadota; Gammaproteobacteria; Enterobacterales; Enterobacteriaceae.